RNAcentral lists this ribosomal RNA (465 nucleotides) under uncultured Klebsiella sp. RNAcentral describes it as "bacterial SSU rRNA". It matches the Rfam family "Bacterial small subunit ribosomal RNA", at positions 338 to 795 of the family's 1533-position model. The record is from RNAcentral. Lineage: Bacteria; Pseudomonadati; Pseudomonadota; Gammaproteobacteria; Enterobacterales; Enterobacteriaceae.
CCUACGGGAGGCUGCAGUGGGGAAUAUUGCACAAUGGGCGCAAGCCUGAUGCAGCCAUGCCGCGUGUGUGAAGAAGGCCUUCGGGUUGUAAAGCACUUUCAGCGGGGAGGAAGGCGGUGAGGUUAAUAACCUCAUCGAUUGACGUUACCCGCAGAAGAAGCACCGGCUAACUCCGUGCCAGCAGUCGCGGUAAUACGGAGGGUGCAAGCGUUAAUCGGAAUUACUGGGCGUAAAGCGCACGCAGGCGGUCUGUCAAGUCGGAUGUGAAAUCCCCGGGCUCAACCUGGGAACUGCAUUCGAAACUGGCAGGCUAGAGUCUUGUAGAGGGGGGUAGAAUUCCAGGUGUAGCGGUGAAAUGCGUAGAGAUCUGGAGGAAUACCGGUGGCGAAGGCGGCCCCCUGGACAAAGACUGACGCUCAGGCGCGAAAGCGUGGGGAGCAAACAGGAUUAGAUACCCGAGUAGUC